Molecule: non-coding RNA, 317 nt
Organism: Paramuricea clavata
Lineage: Eukaryota; Metazoa; Cnidaria; Anthozoa; Malacalcyonacea; Plexauridae
Source: the annotation of a GenBank genome assembly
AUGCUAUUAACUCCAGACGUUCCUUCAAAGCAAACGGUAUGUCACGUAUGUGUUUAAAUAUAUUCAGGUUUUGUGUAAUAUGUGCCAACUUUGCAUACAAGGCUAAUCAAUGUCAAUGACAAGACUUUUGGAGUACUCAAAUAUUUCCCAAAAUACCUGUAUAUAUAACUUAUAUAUACCCCCCCCCCCCAAGAAAAUGUUUCUGUGUGAUGAAAAGAUAUUACACUGGCCAUUUACAACAUGUUGGGAGCUGCAGUACACCCUGUUUAUUUUAUUUUUACUUGUCUAGCGCCAGACGAUUUUACUCAUCAAUGGGG